RNAcentral lists this ribosomal RNA (447 nucleotides) under uncultured bacterium. Its description in RNAcentral is "bacterial SSU rRNA". It matches the Rfam family "Bacterial small subunit ribosomal RNA", at positions 330 to 793 of the family's 1533-position model. The record is from RNAcentral.
UCCAGACUCCUACGGGAGGCAGCAGUGGAAUAUUGGGCAAUGGAGGCAACUCUUACCCAGCAAUGCCGCGUGAAUGAAGAAGGUCUUCGGAUUGUAAAGUUCUUUAAUUGGGGACGAAAAAAAUGACGGUACCCAAGGAAUAAGCCCUGGCUAACUACGUGCCAGCAGCCGCGGUAAUACGUAGGGGGCAAGCGUUAUCCGGAUUUACUGGGUGUAAAGGGAGCGCAGGCGGCACGGCAAGCCUGAUGUGAAAGCCCGCGGCCCAACCGCGGGACUGCAUUGGGAACUACCGGGCUGGAGUGCCGGAGAGGUAGGCGGAAUUCCUAGUGUAGCGGUGAAAUGCGUAGAUAUUAGGAGGAACACCAGUGGCGAAGGCGGCCUACUGGACGGUGACUGACGCUGAGGCUCGAAAGCGUGGGGAGCAAACAGGAUUAGAUACCCGAGUAA